RNAcentral lists this small RNA (323 nucleotides) under Pan troglodytes (chimpanzee). RNAcentral describes it as "retained intron". Lineage: Eukaryota; Metazoa; Chordata; Mammalia; Primates; Hominidae. The record is from RNAcentral.
GAGCUGAACCUGCCCAAGACGUGUGAUAUCAGCUUCUCAGAUCCAGACGACCUCCUCAACUUCAAGCUGGUCAUCUGUCCUGAUGAGGGCUUCUACAAGAGUGGGAAGUUUGUGUUCAGUUUUAAGGUGGGCCAGGGUUACCCGCAUGAUCCCCCCAAGGUGAAGUGUGAGACAAUGGUCUAUCACCCCAACAUUGACCUCGAGGGCAACGUCUGCCUCAACAUCCUCAGGUGAGGGCACUGGCCCUCUACUGCCCUCCUCGGCCCUGCCUGCCAGGCCUCCCUCAUGGUCUUGUGGGCACUACAUCAGACUCUGUCCCUUCC